CUACGGGUCGCUGCAGUGAGAAAUAUUGCACAAUGGGGGGAACCCUGAUGCAGCAACGCCGCGUGGAGGAUGACGCAUUUCGGUGUGUAAACUCCUUUUAUAUGUCAAGAAAAUGACGGUAGCAUAUGAAUAAGCACCGGCUAACUCCGUGCCAGCAGCCGCGGUAAUACGGAGGGUGCAAGCGUUACUCGGAAUCACUGGGCGUAAAGGACGCGUAGGCGGGUUGGAAAGUCAGGUGUGAAAUCCUACAGCUUAACUGUAGAACUGCACUUGGAACUUCUAAUCUAGAGUAUGGGAGGGGGAGAUGGAAUUAGUGGUGUAGGGGUAAAAUCCGUAGAUAUCACUAGGAAUACCUAAAGCGAAGGCGAUCUCCUGGAACAUUACUGACGCUAAGGCGUGAAAGCGUGGGGAGCAAACAGGAUUAGAUACCCGAGUAGUC
Molecule: ribosomal RNA, 439 nt
Filed under: uncultured bacterium
Lineage: Bacteria
Description: partial 16S ribosomal RNA
Rfam family: Bacterial small subunit ribosomal RNA
Source: RNAcentral